AUGACAGCCCCUCCCGCCCCCGACCCCGAGCCCUCGACCCCGUUUUUCUCUCCUCCCCCGUCUCUUCCCCCGAACUGCCUUUCUCCUCCGGCUCUGGUUUUGGACCUAAUCCUCUUUGCCUUUUUCCUCGUCCUCAUCGUCUGCGCUCCUCUCCUGAACGUGCAGGCCGCGCUUCCUUCCACCCUCUUCCCGGAUCCCCUGCUUCGUAUUGCUUCCUGGUACAAAGAUCGGUUCGGCGACUACCUCGUCUCGGAGCGUCCCUUCUUCUUCGUGAGGCUGGUCUGGCAUGAGCUAUUCUUCAUCUGGCCCCUCGCCAUCACCAACGCCUAUGCCACGCUCGCCAGGAGGUCCUGGUUCAAUACCACCUGCCUCAUCUUGGGAUCCUCGCUCCUUACCUCCAUGAGCAUGGAGACAAAACCCAAAUAAGUGAAUAUACUGCAUUGGAAGCCAUGAUGCCAUGAUGGCAGUGGGAAUAUACUGCAACCUUUCUUGAAUUUUCAUGCUUGGAACCCCCCCGUUCUCUUGUAUGCAUGCAGGGUGCCACACUCUUCAAUAAUGAUCUAGAGAGGUAACAAAUUAGCAGUUUAUGUUAGAAUCAUAUUUUUUUGCUUUGCAGGCCAGGCUGAAAAAGGAGAUACCAACCGAGCAAUUCCUUUCAAAUUUUAUAGUUCAAGGAAUGGUGUGUCGACUGAAGAGAGCAUAUAUGAAAUCACAUACCAUGGAAAGGGAAGAAUGCCGGGAUUUGGUGAGAAAUUCACGCCAAGAGGUCAGUGUACAUUUGGACCUAGGCUGCAAGAUGAUGAAAUCAAACUCCUAGCCAUGUUUGUGAAGUCGCAAGCUGAACAAGGAUGGCCAAACAUUGAAAUUUAUAAAUAUUGAUCUUUGUAGACAAGGGCAUUUCUAUAGAAAGGAGGGCUUCAAUAUUGAAUAAUAUACUAUUUAUACAUGUGCUUGAUAUUGUCAAGAAAAACUACUACCAGAAUCUUAGAUGCACCAGUUCUGGUUCAACAUGGCGAACUGGUUUCAGCUUGCUUGUCAACUUUCUUCAUUAAUGAAAAAACAAGCUGUUUUGGGUCUUA
Long non-coding RNA from Nymphaea colorata (pocket water lily), 1079 nucleotides. RefSeq lists it as uncharacterized. The transcript is spliced from 4 exons. The record is from RefSeq and is a predicted model, not a curated record. NCBI's taxonomy places the organism in Eukaryota, Viridiplantae, Streptophyta, Magnoliopsida, Nymphaeales, Nymphaeaceae.